Molecule: ribosomal RNA, 426 nt
Filed under: uncultured bacterium
Lineage: Bacteria
Description: partial 16S ribosomal RNA
Rfam family: Bacterial small subunit ribosomal RNA
Source: RNAcentral
GUUAGGAAUCUUCCACAAUGGGGGCAACCCUGAUGGAGCAACACCGCGUGCUGGAUGAAGGCCUUCGGGUCGUAAACAGCUUUUGUAUACGAAGAAUAUGACGGUAAUAUACGAAUAAGGGUCGGCUAACUACGUGCCAGCAGCCGCGGUCAUACGUAGGACCCAAGCGUUAUCCGGAGUGACUGGGCGUAAAGAGUUGCGUAGGCGGCUUAUUAAGCGAGUAGUGAAAUCUGGUGGCUCAACCAUCAACACAUUGCUCGAACUGAUAGGCUUGAGAAUGGUAGAGGUAGUUGGAAUUUCUUGUGUAGGAGUGAAAUCCGUAGAUAUAAGAAGGAACACCAAUGGCGUAGGCAGACUACUGGACCAUUUCUGACGCUGAGGCACGAAAGCGUGGGGAGCGAACCGGAUUAGAAACCCUUGUAGUCC